RNAcentral lists this long non-coding RNA (1239 nucleotides) under Homo sapiens (human). RNAcentral's name for it is "HSALNT0309189". Lineage: Eukaryota; Metazoa; Chordata; Mammalia; Primates; Hominidae. The record is from RNAcentral.
UAAGAGGCUAUUGUAAUAUUGCAGGUAGGAGAUCAUGAGCCUCGGUGGCUUGAGUGGACAUGGAAAGAGGAAAUGUGUAAUGUGAAGUUAACCUCAAUGUGAUGUGCCAAGGGCAUGUGAAAUCACAAGGAGAAAGUGCAGUAUUUACUGAGUGAGCAGCUAUUCCAGUCAAUGAGAAGGGAAAUUACUUAUCAUCAAACUUAAUGCAUGAAGAGGCAGGGGAUUCUAGGAAGAUGGACGUUUCUGCAUUCUUGCUACUCUCAACUCCAUUCCAACUCAUCUGUCUCUCCUCAGCCAGUGACUCCUGAGGGCAGUGUCAGACAUUUCAGCUAGUGCCUCUGUACUCUGAAAAAUACCUGGAAAGGACACACCAGAAAGAAGAAGCCACUGAACAGGAAAAGGCCAUGAGAGAUGAGAAGAUGAUCAACGGAAGAGGAUAUAGGAUGAAGAUACACAAGUUCGGGUGGGGAGGAGAUGAAGAAAAAGAAGAGGAUAAUUGGAAGGAAAUAUCUUUCUCUACCCCUGACCAAAUUGACUGGUUUGAGUUUGUUGCCUGACGUAAGCAGCAUCAAUGGGCCCAAGGCUGUGGUACAUAAAGCCCACAAACUAUGUGGAUCACGGUAUUCAUCCAGAUUGGAGAAGAAUAAGGCUGCCAUUUUAGGCCAAAAGGGAGGAGAAUAAGUACCUACAACUACCUGAAGUUAACUCAGUUGUUUAUUUACUGCCUGUCUCACCUAUUAGAAUAUACAUUCCACUGAGCAGUGACUUCAUCCUGUUCAAUCACCUUUGAUCUUCACUGCCAAGAAUAAAACUGAAGUGGUCUUGAGGAGAGUCAAAUGAAGACCUAUUUCUCAAACGACUAAAACCAACUCAAGGUGCCUAUUCCAAAUGAAGUAAACAUGUGCCUGUCUGGGCCGUUGAAGAAUGAGAGGUUUGUGAAGCAAAGCUGAGAUGCUUCAGUCUUCCAACCAUGGACAUCGUCAGUCAGCUGACAGCCAGCUAACCCCAGACAUGAGAAUGAGCCCAGCCAAGAUCAGUAGCACCACCGAAGCCACUAACAGUCAACCACAGAGGAACAUUUGGCUAAUAAGAUUAUACCAGAUCAUCCACCAAUGUGCCAUCCUAACUAUGUAAAUGACAGAGAUCUGAAGAUCAUUUUGUUUUCUAUAUGACAAAGUGAAAGUUAUUUACCUCUAUACUAAACAUGUACUGGAAUUGAUAUCAUUAAAUUUUGCCUUA